GUGGGGAAUAUUGGGCAAUGGGCGAAAGCCUGACCCAGCAACGCCGCGUGAAGGAAGAAGGUUUUCGGAUUGUAAACUUCUGUCCUCAGGGAAGAAGAAAGUGACGGUACCUGAGGAGGAAGCCCCGGCUAACUACGUGCCAGCAGCCGCGGUAAUACGUAGGGGGCGAGCGUUGUCCGGAAUGACUGGGCGUAAAGGGCGCGUAGACGGCUGUCUAAGUCUGGAGUGAAAGUCCUGCUUUCAAGGUGGGAAUUGCUUUGGAGACUGGAUGGCUUGAGUGCGGAAGAGGUAAGUGGAAUUCCCAGUGUAGCGGUGAAAUGCGUAGAGAUUGGGAGGAACACCAGUGGCGAAGGCGACUUACUGGGCCGUAACUGACGUUGAUGCGCGAAAGCGUGGGGAGCGAACAGGAUUAGAAACCCUUGUAGUCC
RNAcentral lists this ribosomal RNA (428 nucleotides) under uncultured bacterium. Its description in RNAcentral is "partial 16S ribosomal RNA". It matches the Rfam family "Bacterial small subunit ribosomal RNA", at positions 354 to 796 of the family's 1533-position model. The record is from RNAcentral.